RNAcentral lists this transfer RNA (143 nucleotides) under Anopheles gambiae (African malaria mosquito). It matches the Rfam family "tRNA". Rfam says of the family: Transfer RNA (tRNA) molecules are approximately 80 nucleotides in length. Their secondary structure includes four short double-helical elements and three loops (D, anti-codon, and T loops). The record is from Rfam by way of RNAcentral. Lineage: Eukaryota; Metazoa; Arthropoda; Insecta; Diptera; Culicidae.
CCUUCGAUAGCUCAGUUGGUAGAGCGGUGGACUGUAGAGAAAAUUCGGAGUGUGUUGCUUUCAAGUCGAAAUGCACUUGAGCCAAACCUUCAAGAGUUGUAAAAGAAAUCCAUAGGUCACUGGUUCAAAUCCGGUUCGAAGGA